GCGGGUGUAGCGCAGGGGUAGCGCAUCUGCUUCCCAAGCAGAGUGUCGUGGGUUCGAAUCCCAUCACCCGCUCCU
Molecule: transfer RNA, 75 nt
Filed under: Anaerolineae bacterium
Lineage: Bacteria; Bacillati; Chloroflexota; Anaerolineae
Description: tRNA-Gly
Rfam family: tRNA
About the family: Transfer RNA (tRNA) molecules are approximately 80 nucleotides in length.
Source: RNAcentral